GCGUAGGACGAACGCUGGCGGCGUGCCUAAUACAUGCAAGUCGAACGGCUUUUCUAUGGAAGCUUGCUUCCACUGAGAAGAUAGUGGCGAACGGGUGAGUAACACGUGGGUAACCUGCCCAUAAGAGGGGGGAUAACAUCCGGAAACGGGUGCUAAUACCGCAUAGUUUUCUUGAUCGCAUGAUCGGGAAAGGAAAGACGGCCUUUGUGCUGUCGCUUAUGGAUGGACCCGCGGCGUAUUAGUUAGUUGGUGAGGUAACGGCUCACCAAGACGAUGAUACGUAGCCGACCUGAGAGGGUGAUCGGCCACAUUGGGACUGAGACACGGCCCAAACUCCUACGGGAGGCAGCAGUAGGGAAUCUUCCGCAAUGGACGAAAGUCUGACGGAGCAACGCCGCGUGAGUGAAAGAAGGUUUUCGGAUCGUAAAACUCUGUUGUCAGAGAAGAACAAGUUGGAGAGUAACUGCUCCAGCCUUGACGGUAUCUGACCAGAAAGCCACGGCUAACUACGUGCCAGCCGCCGC
RNAcentral lists this ribosomal RNA (524 nucleotides) under uncultured bacterium. RNAcentral describes it as "bacterial SSU rRNA". It matches the Rfam family "Bacterial small subunit ribosomal RNA", at positions 22 to 518 of the family's 1533-position model. The record is from RNAcentral.